CCUGUGAGUGGCAGGCGGUGGGAGGCCAGGUGGGGCAGGGUCUGGGAAACCUUGUCAGCCUCACAGAGGGCAGCCAGUGGCUGGGGAGGCGGUGGCUUUGGCCCAGGCCUCAACAUUGUUCCCACCCCAGGCUUUCCAGGAGGAGCUGGCCCAGUUCCGGGAGCAACUGGACACCUGCAGGGGCCCUGUGAGCUGUGCCCUUGUGGCCCUGAUGGCCCAUGGGGGACCACGGGGUCAGCUGCUGGGGGCUGACGGGCAAGAGGUGCAGCCCGAGGCACUCAUGCAGGAGCUGAGCCGCUGCCAGGUGCUGCAGGGCCGCCCCAAGAUCUUCCUGUUGCAGGCCUGCCGUGGGGGAAACAGGGAUGCUGGUGUGGGGCCCACAGCUCUCCCCUGGUACUGGAGCUGGCUGCGGGCACCUCCAUCUGUCCCCUCCCAUGCAGAUGUCCUGCAGAUCUACGCUGAGGCCCAAGGUGGGUUCUGCCUUCCUUCCAGGGCCUGGGCUUGGGCAGGGCUGGUUGUGGGGACCGUCCAGAGAGCAUCUCCAGGGCUCUAAGCUGGGGUAUGGCUGCCACCUGCAUCCUCUGUUUGCCAAGACAAUGGGAAGAAAAAAAAUCUUCCUAAACC
Homo sapiens (human) is the source of this 624-nucleotide long non-coding RNA. Ensembl annotates it as caspase 16, pseudogene. Its record names the gene CASP16P. NCBI's taxonomy places the organism in Eukaryota, Metazoa, Chordata, Mammalia, Primates, Hominidae. The record is from Ensembl.